CGCGUGCCCACUCCCUUCAAACCUUCAUCAAACACCCGUUGCGCUUGCGCCAGCGGGCAGCCCCUCUCCCGCAGCCGCAGUCCCAGUCCCACGCGCAUUCCGCCCCGCGGCUCCCGAGAGAGAGAGAUGGCCAGGCACGCCAAGACGGACUCCGACGUGACGAGCCUGGCGGCGUCCACGCCGCCGCGGUCCCCGCGCGGCCGCCCGGCCUACUACGUGCUCAGCCCCGCCGCCUCCCACCCGGACGUCCACCUGGGCGCCUCCGGCGGCGUGGCGGGGACCACCCCGGCGGAGUCGCCGCUCCACUACCACUUCCACCACCACCGCCACCACUCGAGCGGCGGCGCCGGUGUCGGCGUGGGCGGCAUGCACCACUCCCGGGAGUCCUCGACGGGGCGGCUCCUCUUCUCCGACCAGCUCCGCUCCGGCGGCGACGUCGCCGCGGUGGUGAGCGUCCCCUGGCGCCGGCUCGGGAACGGCAGCGGCGCGGGCAGCGUCGGGGACGAGGACGACGACGGCGCGUCCCUGCGCGGCGGGUCGUUCGCGGAGUCGCCGUGGCGGUGCUACGCGCUCGGCGCGGUCGCGUUCGUCGCCGUGUUCGCCUUCUUCCUGAUCGUGCUGUGGGGCGCCAGCAGGUCGUACAAGCCCCACGUCGUCGUCAAGAGCGUGGUGUUCGAGUCGUACCACAUCCAGGGCGGCACGGACCGGACGGGCGUCCCUACGAAGAUGAUGUCGGUCAACGCGACGGUGCGGCUGCGCUUCCGCAACCGCGGCACCUUCUUCAGCCUGCACGUCACGGCCACGCCGUUCCUCCUCUUCUACGGCGACCUCACCGUCGCCACCGGAGAGAUGGCGGAGUUCUACCAGCCGCGGAAGAGCGGGCGGACGGUGACGGUGUCCGUGGUGGGGAAGCAGGUGCCGCUCUACGGCGCGGGCGCCAGCCUGCACAGCAAGCCCAACAACGGGCGCCUCGGCCCCGCGGUGGUGCCCGUCAGGCUCCGCUUCGUGCUGCGCGCGCGCGCCCACAUCCUCGGCCUCCUCGUCAAGUCCAAGUUCUACCGCCGCGUGCGCUGCGGCCUCGACAUCCGCGAGGCGCACCUCGGCAGGCCGGCCCGCGGCGUCGCCUCCGGCUGCGACUACCACGACGGGAUGCGAUGAUCGUUCCUGCCGCCGUUGUGUCGCCUCGGGCGGGGUUUGCUGCGUUGUGGUUGCGGACGAACUGUGUAAUCGAUUCCUACGAACCGUUCUAAUGUAACCGGCGGCGUCGACAAGAUCACAGAUCGUGGGCGCAGCUUGGCUAAUGCCACGAGUAUCGCAUUAAAUC
RNAcentral lists this unclassified non-coding RNA (1324 nucleotides) under Zea mays. RNAcentral's name for it is "misc RNA Zm00001eb250060". The record is from RNAcentral. Lineage: Eukaryota; Viridiplantae; Streptophyta; Magnoliopsida; Poales; Poaceae.